CACGAACCGUACGAACGUUAUUCGGAAUCACUGGGCUUAAAGGGUGCGUAGGCGGCCUUGCAAGUUGGGUGUGAAAGCCCUCGGCUCAACCGAGGAAUUGCGCCCAAAACUGCCGGGCUUGAGGGAGACAGAGGUAAGCGGAACUUAGGGUGGAGCGGUGAAAUGCGUUGAUAUCCUAAGGAACACCAGUAGCGAAAGCGGCUUACUGGGUCUCAUCUGACGCUGAGGCACGAAAGCUAGGGGAG
RNAcentral lists this ribosomal RNA (245 nucleotides) under uncultured bacterium. Its description in RNAcentral is "partial 16S ribosomal RNA". It matches the Rfam family "Bacterial small subunit ribosomal RNA", at positions 524 to 768 of the family's 1533-position model. The record is from RNAcentral.